GAGCGCUGGGAUCAAAAGGUGUACAUCACUACACCAGGCUGACUGCCAGUUUUGAACUGGCUAAUCCAGCUGUCUAGGCAGGUGACCCCUUCCUCCCUAACCACUCCCUGUGUAUCGCCCCAGGGUACAUGUCUGGUCAAAGAGGCCAAUGUUUCCCAGUAAGAGAACUGCCCUUUGGUCAAGGCUAUACAAGUACAAGCAGGUGUGCUCUCCUGCUAGAACCAAGAAACAGGAUCUCAAACCAAGAACUCUGGCACACGAGGCAAAACUCUACCUUGAGUUACAUCUCUAGUACUUCAAUUUUUG
This 306-nucleotide small nuclear RNA is filed under the name Nannospalax galili (Upper Galilee mountains blind mole rat). RNAcentral describes it as "7SK RNA (ENSNGAG00000001886.1)". It matches the Rfam family "7SK RNA". Rfam says of the family: 7SK was discovered as an abundant small nuclear RNA in the mid-70s but a possible function has only recently been suggested. Two independent studies have found that 7SK RNA binds the CDK9/cyclin T complex (known as elongation factor P-TEFb). Lineage: Eukaryota; Metazoa; Chordata; Mammalia; Rodentia; Spalacidae. The record is from Rfam by way of RNAcentral.